This is a long non-coding RNA of Orcinus orca (killer whale), 641 nucleotides long. RefSeq lists it as uncharacterized. The record is from RefSeq and is a predicted model, not a curated record. NCBI's taxonomy places the organism in Eukaryota, Metazoa, Chordata, Mammalia, Artiodactyla, Delphinidae. The transcript has 4 exons.
AAAAUUAUUCAAGCUAAACAAUACUAAACGUAAGAGUACCUACUCUGUUUUGCCCAUUUCUUUCCACUAAAUCCCCAUAAAGGCUCUGGGCCACGCUCUUCCCUCCUGACCGACCUUGGCACUUCCCCGUGUGGCCUGCGUGGUGUGCUGUGCCCCCUGUUUCUGAGAAUCUAAAAAGAAGGAGCAAAGAGAAACCCAAGCAGAUGCUACUAUUGAUUGAUUAUUUUUAAUUUACUGAUUGCCGAAUUUAUCCUUCUGAGUCAGAGUCACCUAGGCAAGACCAGCUGACUCCAGACACUUGAGUAAAAAAUGCCUGCCGCUGGAUGCCCUGAGGAUCUGAAGUUCUUUGUUACACAGCAUUACUAUGGCAAUAGGCGCAGUAUCAUGUCACAUUAAGAAGAGCCACACUAUUGAGAGUUCAAAGCCAUUGUGUCCCUGUGAAGAAAGGCCCAGAGCGCCAUCUAUGUAAGUCUGAAAGAAUCUCCCUCACUAUUGGAGCGCAAGCAUUGCUGCACUGAGUAGGGUAAUAACUAGAGUCCACACUGCUGAGACCGUUGCUUCUUCCACCUGCCUGUGUGCGUCUACAUAGUCACGUAUUCAUCGUCCCCACUCAUAUCCACGCAGCUUGUCCAACUGUUUAA